UGCAAGUCGCACGAGACGCUUCAGCUUGCUGAAGUUAGUAAAGUGGCGCACGGGUGAGUAACGCGUGGGUAAUCUACCCCCGAAUUGGGGAUAACAUCGCGAAAGCGAUGCUAAUACCGAAUGAUAUCUUGAAAACUCUGUUUUCUGGAUCAAAGAUGGCCUCUACAUGUAAGCUAUUGUUUGGGGAUGAGCCCGCGUACCAUUAGCUUGUUGGUAGGGUAAUGGCCUACCAAGGCAACGAUGGUUAGCUGGUCUGAGAGGAUGAUCAGCCACACUGGAACUGACACACGGUCCAGACUCCUACGGGAGGCAGCAGUGAGGAAUUUUGCGCAAUGGGGGAAACCCUGACGCAGCAACGCCGCGUGAGUGAUGAAGGCUUUCGGGUCGUAAAGCUCUGUCAAGUGGGAAGAAACCAUAUGGUGUUAAUAUCGCCAUAUGCUGACGGUACCAUUGAAGGAAGCACCGGCUAACUCCGUGCCAGCAGCCGCGGUAAUACG
This 497-nucleotide ribosomal RNA is filed under the name uncultured organism. RNAcentral describes it as "bacterial SSU rRNA". It matches the Rfam family "Bacterial small subunit ribosomal RNA", at positions 56 to 527 of the family's 1533-position model. The record is from RNAcentral.